RNAcentral lists this long non-coding RNA (501 nucleotides) under Vulpes vulpes (red fox). Its description in RNAcentral is "lncRNA (ENSVVUG00000016845.1)". The record is from RNAcentral. Lineage: Eukaryota; Metazoa; Chordata; Mammalia; Carnivora; Canidae.
AGUUACUUACUGGUAGUGAGUGGUGAAUGCGAAACGAUUUCUCUGCUUGAAGUUUAGUUUUAAUAAAAAGCAGAAUGUUCUGAUGAGAUCCUAUUUGUUUUAUAGCUGUUGAAAUGAUAAUACCCUGUUCAUCAGUGUUCACGGGGCUGUGUUCAUCAGCCAACUGCAAUGACACUAUAACUGCAAAUCGCAUGGGUUUACGGUAACACACACAGUUUUCCUCCCGGAUGCUAAACGUCACCGGCUGUUCUUCUGCUACUCAUGGCUUUUCACCUGGGGGUCAGAAACAAGAUAGGAGAAAGAAGAUGUAGAAGCAAGAAGAGCUCACAGUGCUUGAGCUCUGGUAUUGAACAGAAAGCUCCCAAAAGCUUGAAGAACGUGGUUGCCAAUAUGGGCUCAUUGGCCAUUUUGUGUGAGGUGGUGCAUAAGACAUCCAGAGGAAACUCCAUUCUUCACGGCUGUCUUCCUAAGAGCUGCAUUGGAAGCUUAAUUCACUGGGAA